RNAcentral lists this long non-coding RNA (1525 nucleotides) under Vulpes vulpes (red fox). RNAcentral describes it as "lncRNA (ENSVVUG00000006687.1)". The record is from RNAcentral. Lineage: Eukaryota; Metazoa; Chordata; Mammalia; Carnivora; Canidae.
GGCGCUGCCGGUGGAAGGUCCAAGGCCACACGCUCCGCUCCCCCGGGAAGCCCACGCGACCCGGUGUGCAGAGCGGCUGCUCCUGACCUCGCGCUGUUCGGGUCCUCGAGGUCACAAACCCAGGCUGUCCCGCCCCCACACCCUGCUUUGUCCUUGGGCGGGAGGAAGCUCCUGAGCCCCUGGGAAGGCCUGGUGCGUGCAUCUCCUCUGCGCAGGUGCAGGGGUGGGGGCAGGUGCAGCUCCGGGGGACACCGCAGGUGGGCGGGGGGCGGGCGCAGCCGUUGGCUUUCGCUGAUCGUGGGAGACUCGUCUAACAUCUCACCUCCUCGGGUUGUCCUCCAAGAACCAGCGAGGUUCGCAUGGCUGCUCCCCACAGAAAGGGGACCGAACAGGACAAGACAGGCUGUGAGGCCAGGCCCAGAAGUCGCUGAAGCCCAAGACAGCCCCCGAGAUGUGCACCAGGAAAGCGCUGCUUUCCUCUCCCCCUGUAAGGGGUGCAGGCAGCUGCUGAGAACUGAGCAGUAAAGCUAAGCAGACUUGGGAGAAUAUGUAUUUCAGUGUUUUUUACAUUAUGCCAUUGACUAACAAGCCACCUGGAACAUCUGUUUCUAGCUCUGAAAUCGUUUGCAGAAAACAUUCUGGCAAAUGCUCUGCUCCUAGAGCUCUCCUCUGCCCUCAAGCCACCCACACCCCCACCUCUGGGACCACAGGAAAACCAAGGCAAAGGUGACCCACCUAUUGCUGAAGAUUAACUGAGCAAGGUUCCAUUGACUAAGUGUAACGACUGUAGAAGUUACCAUUAAUUCACACCUAAGCGGAAUGCAAUCAUACCAGGAAAUAGAUUUAAGUUUGCCUCCUUGACAUUAUGGGUUUCUCUCCUUUAUGCAGAAUAUCAUACAUCUUGUACGAGAGCCAUGCUUUCCUCCCUAGCCGUGGAUAUAUUGCUAUGGCAUUAGCUUUUCCCCUCGUCUUUGCAAAUAGAGAAGUCUCUCCCCCCUCCAGUUUUUAAGCCCUUUUAUCCCUUCUUGUUGUGAAGGUCAUCAUCUACCUAGAAUAGAAUGACAGGCCUGGGACCAUGCCUGGCUAAGAGAGAAAUAACACUUUCACUUCCAGUUGCAAAGUAUACCUAUAGGAUUAAUAUUUCCCUCAUGCUAUUUACAUAAUGGUAUGAAAGAAUCAAAUUUACAAAGGGUGCUCAGUCCCUGAGAGGCUGGAAGGGUGAGAGAUGUCUCUCUGGCUUAAGAGGAGCCCACGGUUAGCAAACCACCUCUGAUAAGUUCCCCUUCCAGCAUGAUUGGCACCCUAAAAGACACACACACACACCACUUUCACAUGCAUCAGUCAGAAAAACGAGUUGACAACUUGCAUUUGAAUGAUAGCAUCAGAACAUUCAAUAACAAACAAUAGUAGCUACUCCCAUUUGCUUUGGAUAUUGCCCGGUUGUUGUAUUGUUUUCCACUGUGGUUCCAGAUUCUUCACCUUGGCCCACAUCUUCACUGCCCCUCCAUAUGUCCUUCCCCAAGUC